UUUCCUUCUGCGUUUGCAUUACGGGAUUUUAGCAGUUGAACCAUGGGAUAUCUGGAUUUGAAUGGGUUACUUUGUGCAAAAAUUUUUCUGUUUGUUGCCUAUUAAAAAAAAAACAAAAAAACUUCUGUUUGUUCUUUUUACCCCCAGAGUUGUUUUCAAGAGCUUAUGCCCCUUAGUAUAUUCUGUGCUUAUUUAUCAAAAAAAAAAAAAAAUCCUGGUUGCAGUUUUUAUUCUAGGAUGAGGAAAAUGGAGUUCUUUGAGAAAAGUGCUAUGGAUGAGGAAAUGGUGCAUUACAGAAAAAAGGGUUACUUAGAAGGCUGUUGGGUGAUAUUGGUGUAUGCCAAUAAGUAUAAUCCUGAAGGGGGGGUGAUUAAGAGACUGGAAACUUGUCUAGUAGCAAAUAAUACAAUCGGACAUCUGGAGUUAAUCAUAGGAAAGCCUUCUUGCAGUGGCAUGUUUCAAUUUUGAUCAAGUCCUUUUAUUCCUUGCAAAAUUUUUUAGCUAGUCUUUAUUUCAACUUGAGAUAAUGAAAAUUUCUCUUUUGCAUAAGUUGAAUUAAGAGCUGAACAUUAAGCAAUGUAAUAAAUCUGGAAUAAGGAUGUGUUUGGGAGACUGGAAUGUAAUAAAUCUGCAGCUCUCCAGCAAGUGGAAUACUGGGAUCAGGUGGAAAGUGAGAGGAGUUUGAUAGAGGAGGAAAUCUCUAUUAAAAAAGAAGCCAAAGAGGGCUAUGCUAAGUGGGUAAACCUGGAGGAAAUACACUGGAGACAGUUAUUAAGGGAGUUAUGGUUAAGGGAAGGGGAUAGAAACACGGGUUAUUUUCAUCGUAUGGCAACUGCACACCGAAGAAGGAACUCCUUAGACAGAAUAAAAAUCAAUGGGGUGUGGUUGUCAGAGGAGCAAGAAGUAAGGACAGGGAUUGCAGGCGCCUUUAAACAGUUGCUCACGAAAGACUUGGAGUGGAAGGCAGAUAUAGGGGGUUUAAACUUGAAUCAGAUCAGUCAGCAAGAAGCGGAAAUCCUGGAGUUUCCUUUCUCUAAGGAUGAAGUUCAUUCGGCUCUAGUGGACAUGAAUGGGGACAAGGCUCCAGGACCGGAUGACUUCACUGUGGCCUUUUGGCAAUGCUGCUGGGAGUUCGUGAAAGAGGAGAUUUUAGAGAUGUUGAAGGAGUUCCAUGAGCAAAAUUCUUUCCUCAAGAGCCUCAACAACACGUUUUUGGUCCUUUUACCAAAAAAAGGAGUGGAGGAACUGGGGGAUUUCGGACCUAUCAGUCUUUUGGGGGGGGGGGGGGCUGUACAAAUUAUUGGCUAAGGUCCUGGCCAAUAGGAUUAAAAAAGUGAUUGGAAAAGUGGUUUCCCUGGAUCAGAAUGCAUUCGUCAUGGGUAGGCAGAUUCUGGACGCCUCCUUAAUUGCAAAUGAGGUGAUUGAUUCUUGGCAAAAAAGGGGAGAGAAAGGCCUAAUUUGCAAAUUGGAUAUUGAGAAGGCGUACGACAGCGUUAAUUGGCAUUUCUUGAUGAGGGUCUUGCAAAAAAUGGGUUCGGGCCUAAGUGGAGGGACUGGAUGUGGAGUUGUAUCUCAACUGCUAAGUUUUCAGUUCUGGUGAAUGGAGUGCCUGCUGGAUUUUUCUCUAGCUCUAAGGGGCUACAUCAAGGUGACCCUCUUUCCCCAUACUUGUUCGUCAUGGGAAUGGAAGUGUUGAGUGUUCUUAUUAGGAGGGCUGUGGAAGGGGGUUUUAUUUCUGGGUGCAACAUCAGGCGGGGUAGUGGGUCGGCUGCCAAUAUUUCUCACCUUCUCUUUGCUGAUGACACAAUAGUAUUUUGUGAGGCAAAGAAGGAACACUUGACUCAUUUGAGCUGGAUUUUAUGUUGGUUUGAAGCUGCUUCAGGGUUAAGGAUUAAUCUGGCUAAAAGUGAAAUUAUUCUAGUAGGGAGGUGGAAGAGAUUGUUGAGAUGACUGUGGAGCUUGGAUGCAAGGUAGGUCAAUUACCCUCAGCUUACUUGGGGCUGCCCUUGGGGGUGCCCAAUAAGGCCUCUUCCGUGUGGGAUGGGGUGGAAGAAAGGGUGAGGUGGAAACUUGCCCUUUGGAAACGACAGUAUAUCUCCAAAGGUGGAAGAAUCACCCUCAUAAAGAGUACGUUGGCUAGUAUGCCUUUGUAUCAAUUGUCCCUAUUCCGUAUGCCUAAGAUAGUGGCAAGAAGGCUAGAAAAGUUGCAAAGAGACUUUUUGUGGGGAGGGGGAAAUAUGAAAAGAAAAGCUCACUUAGUCAAUUGGGAGAUGGUGUGUGCGGGUAAGGAGAAGGGGGGGCUAGGCUUGAGGAAGCUAGUCCUCUUGAACAAAGCCUUGCUUGGUAAAUGGGUUUGGAGAUUCGCUCGAGCCAAGGACGAGCUAUGGAAGCAAGUGCUUAUGGCGAAAUAUGGGCAAGAGGACCUUGGUUGGAGGACUAAGAAGGCAAAUGGGGCGUUUGGUGUCGGGGUUUGGAAGGAAAUUUUGAAGGAAUCUGAUUGGUGCUGGGAUAAUAUGGCUUUCAAUGUGGGAAAAGGCACCAGAAUCAGAUUCUGGACUGAUCCUUGGUGUGGGGGUGUUGAGUUGUCCCUAAGAUUCCCUCGUCUAUAUGCCGUGGCUGCCCAUAGGAACGCCACAGUGGGAGAAAUGUGGGACCAGAAUUCUGGUCAAGGAGGCUGGAAUUUAAGGUUUUUCAGAGACUUUAACGAUUAGGAGUUGGACUUGGUAGGUGAUUUACUUCAAGCCUUAAGGGGCCAAAGGGUUACUUUGGAGGUAGACUCGGUUUUUUGGAAGGGAGGAAAGAACGUGCAGUUUGGUGUUAAGAAUGCGUACAGCUUGUUGAUUAGCCCCAUUGUCUCCGUUUUCCCCAAAAAUGGCAUUUGGAUGGAUAGAGUCCCAACUAAAUUAGCGUUCUUUGCGUGGGAAGCGGCUUGGGGGAAGGUUCUUACCCUUGAUAGACUUCAAAAGAGAGAGGGUGACAGCUUCCUAAUCGAUGCUUUUUAUGCGGUAGCGAAGAGGAAAAUGCAAAUCAUUUGCUCAUUCAUUGUACAGUGGUCAGAGUGCCAUGGGAGAUUGUCCUUGGUUUGUUCGGUGCUCAGUGGGUUUUUCCAGAAACUGUAAAGGAGGUUCUACUUAGCUAGAAGGGCUUUUUUGUGGGUAAAAAAAGGAAAAAAAUCUGGAGAUCCAUUUCGUUAUUUAUUUUUUGGACGGUUUGGAAGAAGAGGAAUAAACUAGCUUUUAGGGGUGGGGGGGAGUUAGCUAUUCAGAAACUUAAAAUUUUUUUUGUUUGUAAUGUGUGGGGCUGGGCAAAAUUGUAUAGUGGAGUGGAGUUGCGCUCCCUUAUAGGCUUUUUGGAGUGGUUAGCCUCCAUUUAAGGGUUGGUGUGUUUUUUGUCUCUUUUUGGUUGUGAGACCUUUGCCGCUUUGUAUACUCCCUGUAUGUUAUGUGACUUUUUUGCCUUGUGUUAUUAUAUUCCGUGUUUACUUAUCAAAAAAAAAAAAAAAAAAAAAAAAAUUAAGCAAUCCACUGAGGUAUGCCAAACCACCCUCCCAACACACACAAAGGAAAAAAACAAAAAAAAAAACAAAAAGAAAAAAAGAGAAAAAUGUCAUCUACUGAGGCAUGGUUGCUUAGUGGGAGCCUUGUAAAAUACGUUGAUUGAUAGAGGUUUUUAAUGGUCUAAAACAGUUACAAAGAUCUUGGGUUGAUUAGUUCUAAGAGGUGGUAGUUAAGUAUGACUGCAAAGAACUUGUUUUGGUCAUUCUUCAUUUUUGCAAGGUUAAUCAAACAACACUGUUAUUUUGGCUGUUUAUGGAUGCAGUUGUCACAGGAAAUGAUGUGAAGGGUAUGAUGUGCUUAAAAGUCAUUUAAGUGAGCAUUUUCAAAUGAAAGAUUUUUUUGAUAGGUGCUUUUUCAUAUGAAAGAUUUGAGUUAGUUGAUAUCUUUUCUAGGCACAAAAGUUGCUAGGACAGGGGAAAGGUCUCACAAUGGAAAUAUAUCACUAAUCUUGUUGGAAAAUCUGCCAGCUUUUGUGACCAAUUUAUGAAGAUUCUUCCUGCUCAUAUGAGUUGUAACAAUUUUAUAGUUGUGUAUAAAAUUUCCUAGGAUUCUUUCCUUUCCUAGCAUUCUUCACUUAUUUAUCUUUGAUAGCAUGUUUGAAAGCAGAAUUAUGGGCAUUACUUUCUAGGCUA
RNAcentral lists this long non-coding RNA (4189 nucleotides) under Vitis vinifera (wine grape). RNAcentral describes it as "long non-coding RNA (VVIN_LNC002411)". Lineage: Eukaryota; Viridiplantae; Streptophyta; Magnoliopsida; Vitales; Vitaceae. The record is from RNAcentral.